Oncorhynchus masou masou (cherry salmon) is the source of this 338-nucleotide long non-coding RNA. RefSeq lists it as uncharacterized. NCBI's taxonomy places the organism in Eukaryota, Metazoa, Chordata, Actinopteri, Salmoniformes, Salmonidae. The record is from RefSeq and is a predicted model, not a curated record. The transcript has 3 exons.
UCUCAUCCCAAACGGCCUGAUAACCAUUCUGUCAGGCUUCAGUCGAGCAUACCUAAGGAAGAGGCCAACUGACCUAGGACUAUUUGCCAUGUACUAUUGUAUGGAACUGCGGAAAUACAGAGAUGAAAUACAGACCUGUUCACCAAACAAGCUGGUGAAAGAAUUUCAUAAACAUAGAGCCAAGAGACUCUGUGACAAUGCCUAUGAAGAGGAACUGUUGAAGUAUGGAUACAAAGUGACCUCCAAGGAGGAUGUGACUUUUAAUGCCCUGGAGAUCACCUCUCAGGACCUGCAAAUACUAGGCAGUAGUGAGAGACAGAUCAACAGACGGUACUCAA